CUUUAUUGGAGAGUUUGAUCCUGGCUCAGGACGAACGCUGGCGGCGUGCCUAAUACAUGCAAGUCGAGCGGACUUGAUGGAGUGCUUGCACUCCUGAAGGUUAGCGGCGGACGGGUGAGUAACACGUAGGCAACCUGCCCUCAAGACUGGGAUAACUACCGGAAACGGUAGCUAAUACCGGAUAAUUUAUUUUGCAGCAUUGUGAGAUAAUGAAAGGCGGAGCA
This 224-nucleotide ribosomal RNA is filed under the name Paenibacillus sp. cl141a. RNAcentral describes it as "16S rRNA. Bacterial SSU". It matches the Rfam family "Bacterial small subunit ribosomal RNA", at positions 1 to 213 of the family's 1533-position model. Lineage: Bacteria; Bacillati; Bacillota; Bacilli; Caryophanales; Paenibacillaceae. The record is from RNAcentral.